AAAACCCCAUUCGGCUCCGUCAAAUCGCCGCUGAAAAAGUUUCGUUCUUGAAUAUUGUUAUUAUUAUCGUGUUGAAGGAAAGUUAAUUUAAAAGUGGUAGCCGGUAUAUUAUAAUAAUAUUUUGUUUCAAACAGUAUACGGUAUAGAGCAUACUGGUUACAGUUUUACACUGAUUAUCUGUAUUCGCUCGUAGUUCAAAGGUUC
This is a non-coding RNA of Cinara cedri, 204 nucleotides long. NCBI's taxonomy places the organism in Eukaryota, Metazoa, Arthropoda, Insecta, Hemiptera, Aphididae. The record is from the annotation of a GenBank genome assembly.